CCUACGGGAGGCAGCAGUGGGGAAUAUUGCGCAAUGGGCGAAAGCCUGACGCAGCGACGCCGCGUGAGGGAUGAAGGUUUUCGGAUCGUAAACCUCUGUCAGCAGGGAAGAACGGUCACUGUGCUAAUCAGCAGUGAAUUGACGGUACCUGCAAAGGAAGCACCGGCUAACUCCGUGCCAGCAGCCGCGGUAAUACGGAGGGUGCGAGCGUUAAUCGGAAUUACUGGGCGUAAAGCGCUCGUAGGCGGUAUGUCAAGUCAAGGGUGAAAUCCCCGCGCUCAACGUGGGAACUGCCUUUGAAACUGGCAAACUGGAGUGUGUGAGAGGAUAGUGGAAUUCGAGGUGUAGGAGUGAAAUGCGUAGAUAUCUGGAGGAACAUCAGUGGCGAAGGCGACUAUCUGGCACAUAACUGACGCUGAGGAGCGAAAGCGUGGGUAGCAAACAGGAUUAGAUACCCGAGUAGUC
Molecule: ribosomal RNA, 465 nt
Filed under: uncultured bacterium
Lineage: Bacteria
Description: partial 16S ribosomal RNA
Rfam family: Bacterial small subunit ribosomal RNA
Source: RNAcentral